AAAUCGUACCCCAAACCGACACAGGUGGUCAGGUAGAGAAUACCAAGGCGCUUGAGAGAACUCGGGUGAAGGAACUAGGCAAAAUGGUGCCGUAACUUCGGGAGAAGGCACGCUGGUGUGUAGGUGAAGUCCCUGCGGAUGGAGCUGAGACCAGUCGAAGAUACCAGCUGGCUGCAACUGUUUAUUAAAAACACAGCACUGUGCAAACACGAAAGUGGACGUAUACGGUGUGACGCCUGCCCGGUGCCGGAAGGUUAAUUGAU
Molecule: ribosomal RNA, 263 nt
Filed under: Klebsiella pneumoniae
Lineage: Bacteria; Pseudomonadati; Pseudomonadota; Gammaproteobacteria; Enterobacterales; Enterobacteriaceae
Description: partial 23S ribosomal RNA
Rfam family: Bacterial large subunit ribosomal RNA
Source: RNAcentral